CCGUUGUUGUGUUCAGUCCCCCUGGUGUCGACAUCCAACUUCUGCUUCACCUUGUGACAUAAACGAUGUAAAUAUCAUAAGCUUCACAUGACUUAAGGACCUGAGCAAGAAGCCCGCUGCUUCGACCACCGGUACAGCUGAGCAGACCGAUGUUUGGCAACGUCUGGACUCCAUUCAGAUGAUGGAGGCCUCCACUCAUACUGGAUGACACUAGCCCACAGUGACAAAACACUGCCAGCAGCUGAACCACUGACCUUUACAACAUUCAAACACCCUCAAUAACCCUAACUCUAACACACACACACACACACACACACACACACACACACCUGUUGGCUGAGGAUAGACUGCAGAUCAUAC
This is a long non-coding RNA of Micropterus dolomieu (smallmouth bass), 360 nucleotides long. RefSeq lists it as uncharacterized. The record is from RefSeq and is a predicted model, not a curated record. The transcript has 3 exons. Lineage: Eukaryota; Metazoa; Chordata; Actinopteri; Centrarchiformes; Centrarchidae.